GAUGAACGCUGGCGGCGUGCUUAACACAUGCAAGUCGAACGAAGCACUUUAUUUGAUUUCCUUCGGGACUGAUUAUUUUGUGACUGAGUGGCGGACGGGUGAGUAACGCGUGGGUAACCUGCCUUGUACAGGGGGAUAACAGUUGGAAACGGCUGCUAAUACCGCAUAAGCGCACAGCAUCGCAUGAUGCAGUGUGAAAAACUCCGGUGGUAUAAGAUGGACCCGCGUUGGAUUAGCUAGUUGGUGAGGUAACGGCCCACCAAGGCGACGAUCCAUAGCCGAACUGAGAGGGGGAACGGCCACAUUGGGACUGAGACAAGGCCCAAACUCCUACGGGAGGCAGCAGUGGGGAAUAUUGCAAAAUGGGCGAAAGCCUGAUGCAGCGACGCCGCGUGAGCGAAGAAGGAAUUCGGUAUGUAAAGCUCUAUCAGCAGGGAAGAUAAUGAAGGUACCUGACUAAGAAGCACCGGCUAAAUAAGUG
Molecule: ribosomal RNA, 481 nt
Filed under: uncultured bacterium
Lineage: Bacteria
Description: partial 16S ribosomal RNA
Rfam family: Bacterial small subunit ribosomal RNA
Source: RNAcentral